RNAcentral lists this ribosomal RNA (485 nucleotides) under uncultured bacterium. Its description in RNAcentral is "bacterial SSU rRNA". It matches the Rfam family "Bacterial small subunit ribosomal RNA", at positions 8 to 507 of the family's 1533-position model. The record is from RNAcentral.
AGAGUUUGAUCAUGGCUCAGAAUCAACGCUGGCGGCGUGCCUCAGACAUGCAAGUCGAACGAUUAAAGCUCUCUUCGGAGAGUGUAUAGAGUGGCGCACGGGUGAGUAACACGUAAGUAAUCUACCCUCGAGUGGGGAAUAACAACCGGAAACGGUUACUAAUACCGCAUAAUGCAGCGGCACCGCAAGGUGACAGUUGUUAAAGAUUUAUCGCUUGAGGAGGAGCUUGCGGCAGAUUAGCUAGUUGGUAGGGUAACGGCUUACCAAGGCUACGAUCUGUAACCGGUCUAAGAGGACGGUCGGUCACACUGACACUGAAUAACGGGUCAGACUCCUACGGGAGGCAGCAGUCGGGAAUUUUGGGCAAUGGGCGAAAGCCUGACCCAGCAACGCCGCGUGAAGGAUGAAGUAUUUCGGUAUGUAAACUUCGAAAGAAUAGGAAGAAUUAAUGACGGUACUAUUUAUAAGGUCCGGCUAACUACGUG